UAGGUUUGUCCCAAGUCAAACUUGCUUAAGUAUGACCGACUAUAGAAAAUGUGCAAAGAUCUACAACACCAAAUACACAUAGUACGGAAAUAUAUUUCAUAAAGAAUCUAAUGAGACUGAUUUGGUGUUCCAAAUGUUCAUUUUUUUUUUCAUAGACUUGGUCAAACUUAAACAAGUUUGACUUAGGACAAACUUAA
Molecule: microRNA precursor, 197 nt
Filed under: Triticum urartu
Lineage: Eukaryota; Viridiplantae; Streptophyta; Magnoliopsida; Poales; Poaceae
Description: MIR1435 microRNA precursor family
Rfam family: MIR1435 microRNA precursor family
Source: Rfam by way of RNAcentral